CAGUCGCCGCGGUAAUACGAAGGGGGCUAGCGUUGCUCGGAAUCACUGGGCGUAAAGCGCACGUAGGCGGGUCGUUAAGUCAGGGGUGAAAUCCUGGAGCUCAACUCCAGAACUGCCCUUGAUACUGGCGAUCUUGAGUUCGAGAGAGGUUGGUGGAACUGCGAGUGUAGAGGUGAAAUUCGUAGAUAUUCGCAAGAACACCAGUGGCGAAGGCGGCCAACUGGCUCGAUACUGACGCUGAGGUGCGAAAGCGUGGGGAGCAAACAGGAUUAGAUACCCGCGUAGUCCCUGUCUCUUAUAC
This 301-nucleotide ribosomal RNA is filed under the name uncultured bacterium. Its description in RNAcentral is "partial 16S ribosomal RNA". It matches the Rfam family "Bacterial small subunit ribosomal RNA", at positions 509 to 807 of the family's 1533-position model. The record is from RNAcentral.